AAUAUAGGUGUGUUGUAGAGUCAGGCAGAACCCAGAACGUCUGGAGAUGAAUGUAGGGAAGAAGGAAGGACCAGCAAGUUCUUCUGGGCUGGAGUACAAUGGCGCAAUCUCCGCUCACUGCAAUCUCCGCUGACUACAACCUCCGCCUCCCGGGUUCAAGUGAUUAUCCUGCCUCAGCCUCCUGAGUAGCUGGGAUUACAGAUACUUAACUAUCAGGAAACGUUUACAGAUGAAGAAAGAAGAACAUCUGAACACAGACUGAGCUUACUGGAUAUUGAUGCCAGUGGCAAUAUUGGCAAACAAAUCUUGAAGAUAGACGGCCAGAGAAAUGAUGGAAACUGUCUGAGUCACUGCUUGGAAGAGAGCCACCAAACCAGGAGUGCUUACAUCCGACUGGAAUGCUGAUCCCAAAGUUGUCAGAUGGAGAGUAAAUACAAGGAGAUACUCUUGCUAACAGGCCUGGAUAACAUCACUGAUGAGGAACUGGAUAGGUUUAAGUUCUUUCUUUCAGACGAGUUUAAUAUCGCCACAGGCAAACUACAUACUGCAAACAGAAUACAAGUAGCUAACCUGAUGAUUCAAAAUGCUGGGGCGAUGUCUGCAGUGAUGAAGACCAUUCGUAUUUUUCAGAAGUUGAAUUAUAUGCUUUUGGCAAAACGUCUUCAGGAAGAGAAGGAGAAAGUUGAUAAGAAAUACAAAUCGGUAACAAAACCAAAGCCACUAAGUCAAGCUGAAAUGAGUCCUGCUGCAUCUGCAGCCAUCAGAAAUGAUGUCACAAAGCAACGUGCUGCACCAAAAGUCUCUCCUCAUGUUAAGCCUGAACAUAAACA
RNAcentral lists this small RNA (830 nucleotides) under Pongo abelii (Sumatran orangutan). Its description in RNAcentral is "processed transcript". Lineage: Eukaryota; Metazoa; Chordata; Mammalia; Primates; Hominidae. The record is from RNAcentral.